This 431-nucleotide ribosomal RNA is filed under the name bacterium M9A-310-16S. RNAcentral's name for it is "bacterial SSU rRNA". It matches the Rfam family "Bacterial small subunit ribosomal RNA", at positions 60 to 508 of the family's 1533-position model. The record is from RNAcentral.
AGUCGAACGAUGAAGCCCUUCGGGGUGGAUUAGUGGCGAACGGGUGAGUAACACGUGGGCAAUCUGCCCUUCACUCUGGGACAAGCCCUGGAAACGGGGUCUAAUACCGGAUAACACUCCUGCCCGCAUGGGUGGGGGUUGAAAGCUCCGGCGGUGAAGGAUGAGCCCGCGGCCUAUCAGCUUGUUGGUGGGGUGAUGGCCCACCAAGGCGACGACGGGUAGCCGGCCUGAGAGGGCGACCGGCCACACUGGGACUGAGACACGGCCCAGACUCCUACGGGAGGCAGCAGUGGGGAAUAUUGCACAAUGGGCGAAAGCCUGAUGCAGCGACGCCGCGUGAGGGAUGACGGCCUUCGGGUUGUAAACCUCUUUCAGCAGGGAAGAAGCGAAAGUGACGGUACCUGCAGAAGAAGCGCCGGCUAACUACGUGC